Molecule: transfer RNA, 85 nt
Filed under: Bdellovibrionales bacterium
Lineage: Bacteria; Pseudomonadati; Bdellovibrionota; Bdellovibrionia; Bdellovibrionales
Description: tRNA-Leu
Rfam family: tRNA
About the family: Transfer RNA (tRNA) molecules are approximately 80 nucleotides in length. Their secondary structure includes four short double-helical elements and three loops (D, anti-codon, and T loops).
Source: RNAcentral
GCCCGGGUGGUGGAAUAGGUAGACACAAGGGACUUAAAAUCCCUCGGUUGAAUAAACCGUGCCGGUUCGAGUCCGGCCCUGGGCA